Molecule: long non-coding RNA, 1395 nt
Filed under: Theobroma cacao (cacao)
Lineage: Eukaryota; Viridiplantae; Streptophyta; Magnoliopsida; Malvales; Malvaceae
Description: long non-coding RNA (TCAC_LNC000923)
Source: RNAcentral
UAUGGCCGGCCAAGCAAGGGAACAAAGAGAAAAAGAGAAGAACAAGCCCUAGAAAGAAAAAAUUCAAGAGAAAUUGUUGGAUUUCAAGGAAUCAAGCAAGUAAAGGUAAUAUUUUUUAAUUUUAACUUGUGAUCUACCUUUCCCAUGCAUUCUUUUGCAUUUUCCAAGGCUAAAAUUCAAGAUUUCAAGAGGAAACCUUUGCUGGCCAAAUCUAGAGAGAGAAGUUUUGAGGAUGGAUUUUGCUAGAUUUCAUAAUGUCCUAGUGUUUUUAGUCAUUUUGUGAUGUUUUGAAGGAAAAACAAGCAAGAAAAUAACAUGUUCUUGAACCACCCUCAUUUGGCCGAAUUUUCUAUAUGGCAUGUUGAUGAUGGAUUUGGUUGUAAUUCAUGUUAUUUAGCUAGGAAAUGAUGAAUUGUAAUGUUGGAUAUCGAAACCGGUUAUUGAAAAAUAUAGUUCCUUUAGAAAAUGGCUUGAUGGAAACUGAGAAAAUCAUAGUAAAUGGACUUGGAUUUGAUUUCUAAUGAUAUAUAUGGAUUUACGAGACUGUGUAGAUAUUGAUUGGUUUGUUAGUUCAUAAUCAGAAUGAAUUUCGAAAAAUGGUGAAGUUAGUCAAAAAUCAAGUUCAUUGUAAUGCUUUGGUGUAUUAGAUUAUUGGGAGUGUAAUGAAUAUAUUUGGAGUUGAAUCGGAUGUUUUGGUUAAAUCAAUGGUGUAUAGUUUGAAUUAGGUCGAAUACAAAUUCAUUCCGACCACAAUUGAACCCACGUAGAACACCAUCUUUAAGUGACUAUCCGAACAUUUCUCAUUCAACUUCAUGCAUUCAUAUAGAGUUUGAAAUAGUUUUAUAACAGUUUGGCACCAAUAUAUUGAAUUAUGUGUCGUGUAUUAUGUAUAGGUGGUGAGCCCUCUGAUAAGGGUAAAGAUAUCAUACCAGAGGAUCGAGAAUAGGAGUACUCCUACCACUCCAAACUCCUGCUAUUGUGAGUAAUCAGACGAUCAUCUUAACUAUCUAAAGUAGUUUAUACUUGUUUUUAUGAUUUUAAAGAAUGAUGAGUUUUAACUGGUAAAUUAUUAUAUUUUAAAAGUGAAAAGUGUUGGUUAAACGAAAUGAGAUUCAUAAUUUGGUUUGAAAUUGAAUACUGGUUUUGAAAAUUGAGUAAGUGGAGACUAUAUACUUAUGUUUGAUAUAUGGUUUGAAUUGAUGGCUUAUGACACUGUGAUGGCAUGAAUGGCUGGAUUUGUGUUUGUGUGGAAUCUAUGAACUGUUUUGUUUGGCCUUGAUAGGCUAGGUAAUAUCAUAUUAGCCAUGUCAUGCUGCAGAAAUUUUAUUGAAUUGGUGGGUUAUUUGAUUAGCUUACUACAGUGGGUGAGUUUUCGUGGACCAACCUAUGAGAGGG